UACAGAGGGGGCAAGCGUUGUUCGGAAUUACUGGGCGUAAAGGGCGCGUAGGUGGCCUUCUAAGUCGAACGUGAAAUCCCCGGGCUCAACCCGGGAACUGCGUCCGAUACUGGAAGGCUUGAAUCCGGGAGAGGGAUGCGGAAUUCCAGGUGUAGCGGUGAAAUGCGUAGAUAUCUGGAGGAACACCGGUGGCGAAGGCGGCAUCCUGGACCAAUACUGACGCUGAGGAGCGAAAGCCAGGGGAGCAAACGGG
RNAcentral lists this ribosomal RNA (253 nucleotides) under uncultured bacterium. RNAcentral describes it as "partial 16S ribosomal RNA". It matches the Rfam family "Bacterial small subunit ribosomal RNA", at positions 524 to 776 of the family's 1533-position model. The record is from RNAcentral.